CUUGAAUAUUAUCCUUCAUAUAAGUAAAUUCAUUUCAUUAAAGUAAAGUGAUUCAGUUGCACUCACCCAUUGACACAUCUCUGGUUAUUCACUUCCCCAGCCAUUGCAAAGCAAGCCUCUAUGAGACAUAUUUAGACUCCUUGGGAAUCCUUCAUGAGUUUAACUUAUCUCUUUAAUAUUUUGUCCUUAACAGAGAUUACUUUAUUAAUUGCCAUGAACAAGGAUGGUUGGACUUUGCAUCUUUGUUUUAAGCUCUUCAGGGUUUUUCCAGAAAAGGAAGCUCAUAACCCUUUACCAUUGAUACAUGAGGAUCUGAAUAAGCCUCCUAAAACCUCAAACAGGUCUUUUGUGGGUUUCUUCCUUUGUUGGUUUACCAGAAUUAUUAUAUUAUCACCAAUUAUUUGGCUGGGGUUAGCAAUUCCUUUGAACUAAAAUGGAGAAUGAAGAAACUUGAGAUGAUAUCUGUGAAGGAAUACCAAGAAGAGGAAUGGCAUAGAUUGUGUCAGACCUCUAGUCCCUCCCAUAAGAAGCAUGUGUAUGUAAUGUAGGGUAGGCUUUAAAUCUCUAAACUGCUGGCAGUUCAAAACCCGUCUACACAGAUCUUGCAUGGGGCAGCAGGCUAGGCUCUUGCUAAAUGUUCUUCCUUGGAAAGAAGACUGUGCUGGUUCACAAGUUUCACCACUGUAUGUAUCCUUCCACAAACUGGGAUUCAAAGAUAGAGAGAAGAGAGGGUGCCAGCCUUACCCUGAAUCUUGACCUAAUGCAGUGACUACCUGCCAGCCCCCUCUUAAGAUCUGACUGUAAUCUAAACUGCGGGAAGAUCUCAUCAUAAAUCCAAAGAAUUGCUGAGAAGCAAUAAUACAGCCUCUAUCCCACAGUCUAGUGACACUUAAAGGGUCUGAUUUGCUCCCCCCUGGUAGAGGAGGCAGUGGUUUUGUGGCAAUAUAAUCCAUCUGUCUUUUUUUNAAUCGGAGCUGUAGCCACCGGCCUACGCCAGAGCCACAGCAACGCGGGAUCCGAGCCGCGUCUGCAACCUACACCACAGCUCACAGCAACGCCGGAUCGUUAACCCACUGAGCAAGGGCAGGGACCGAACCCGCAACCUCAUGGUUCCUAGUCGGAUUCGUUAACCACUGCGCCACGACGGGAACUCCUCCAUCUGUCUCUGAUGCAGCCUUUAAGAUACGCUGUGACGCUGAAUAAUGUCCCAGAAUCCAAACCGCGAGUGAGGCAAGCAGAUCAGCAGAGCUUUUGUGGUACUUGGGACUCAACUGACCUGAGGUCUUCCUGGGACACCUUCAUGUAAAUGAGUGCUGAGGACGUGAUUUGGACAGCUUAAUCCUACAUUGUCAAGAAGGCUGGAGCCAACAUAAUCUCCAGACAUGCUUUCAUUCAAAACCGGAAUACAAUUGGACUAUUUCAACUUUGAUUUCCCAUUAUCUCCCAGAGAACUGCAACAGUUUACUAGGAAGAAAGAGAAGAAAAGGGGAAAAGAGAAGAAAAAGACCAGUCUAUAUCCUUUCUGAAAUCCUGUUCAGAGGAUUUGCUGCAACGGCAUUCCAGCUUCAAAUAAGACUGAUUAAAAUAAAAUUACUCAGUCUCCUGACCCA
This 1610-nucleotide long non-coding RNA is filed under the name Sus scrofa (pig). RNAcentral's name for it is "lncRNA (ENSSSCG00035018275.1)". The record is from RNAcentral. Lineage: Eukaryota; Metazoa; Chordata; Mammalia; Artiodactyla; Suidae.